GGAGACUCUAAGACUUCUGAAGAGUUUCUUGCUUCUUUCCUGUGGGGCAGUGACUCCACUUCCCAGCAGUAAUGGAAUAUCCUGAAUUAGCUACAUUAAUGUUAGAACCAUUUGGACCUCACCCAGGACUUCAACUACAUUAUGAGUAACUCCUGGACGAUUGGCACAGAAGAAGGCACAAGGCAAAUACCCAUCUCUGUACACCCUGUGCUACUGUGUCAUGUGCUGCUCCAGGCAACUCCAAUGGAUUGGCCACCCUGGCCAAUGUGUGAGUUAUAAAGCAAUGAUGUGUAGCUAUUGAACCUACAAUUUGGUUAAAGUUAAACUCUCAAGUUUUAUAUGUUUACAAGCAUAUUGUCCUUUUGUUAAUUUCCUCCCAGUACUCAUUUCUUGACUUCUUUUAGUUUUACUAUGUAGUAAUUUUUAAAAUGUUAGUCAAAGUUAGUUAAUUUAAUUCACUUAGCAGAUUUUCCUGUAAUUUUGGUUAAACAGUAUCCUUUCUGUACAGGCCCUCCAAACACCAGCACUGAGUAGAAAGAGGCUCUGAUUCAUGAAAUGUGAAUUUAUGACAGUUGCCACUCUUAAAAAAAAAAACAAACAGACAGAACUUGAGCAAUACAUGACUGAUGCAUUCUCAGCCUGCUUCCUGUGUUCCAUCUGUCUUUCUGCCAGUGCAUUCACCCUCCAGGUUUGAAAGUAGUCGGGCAAGAAAGUACUAAACAUAGAGAAAGGGCAAUUCCAAAAGAACAAAUGAUUGCUUAAUUUAGGCUGACAUUACCCAGUUGCUGGGGGUAUGGGCCAUGGGGAUGGGCCAUGUUCACCACUUAGGUUGGGCAAAUUCCCAAGAUGCCUUUUGACAUAGUAAUGAGGGGGAAUACAUCACUCAUGCCCACU
RNAcentral lists this long non-coding RNA (894 nucleotides) under Homo sapiens (human). RNAcentral's name for it is "non-protein coding STARD13-AS:52". Lineage: Eukaryota; Metazoa; Chordata; Mammalia; Primates; Hominidae. The record is from RNAcentral.